This is a long non-coding RNA of Rhododendron vialii, 1242 nucleotides long. RefSeq lists it as uncharacterized. NCBI's taxonomy places the organism in Eukaryota, Viridiplantae, Streptophyta, Magnoliopsida, Ericales, Ericaceae. The transcript is spliced from 4 exons. The record is from RefSeq and is a predicted model, not a curated record.
UCAAACAAAGCAUAAACAGAGGUUUCAGUCGACCAGACUUAAACGGAGAGAGAGAGAGAGAGAGAGAGAGAGAGAGAGAGAGAGAGAGAGAGAGAGAGAGAGAGAGAGACGAGGAACGAUCAACACCCAGCCCCCGCCACCGGAAGCGCCUCAACUCCACCGCCAGCGACCACCGACGCAACCCCUUUUGAAGAUUGCCUCCCCCAGGCGCAACCCUUCACCGACGCCAAACCCACCCACCGCCAAGACAUUGCCGCCAUUGAAAGGUGCUCACGGGGACCACGACAAAGAACCGCAAAAGGGAUGAAUUUGGUGUCCCCACUUGAUCAAAUUGUUGGGAUCUUCAAAUGGAUGAAAACUCCUUUCUAGUCUAUAUGUUGAGAUGAAGAAUUUACCUAGGGUUCUAGUAAGCUUCCAUAGAAAGCAUUUCUCUGUCUUCAUGGUUCAAGCUGUGUAAGAAACACAAGCACAAUUGGGCUCUACCGUACUUCAAUUGAAUUCAUUGGGUGUGAUGGAGCUAUUUUGUGGUGAUUCUGGACACCCUCUUUCUCUUUCUUGCACCUCUUUUCUGGUUUCUGUUGAGAGGAGUAGAGUUAUUUGGGAGGCUUGGUUGUGGUUGGUUGAUUUUAUGUUAGUUUAUAUUGUUUGCAAGAUGUUUAUAAUGAAUUAGGUGAUUAUCUUUGUUUCAAGUAUUUGGCUUUGGCUAGUUUGUACAAAAUUUAACUCAUUUGCUGGUCAUGCUUUGCAGCCCCUUCAAUAGGGGCCUAGGGUAACCUAUUGUGAUAAAUGUGUAUUUGGUUAAUAUGUAAGUUAUAAGUGCUAUUGAAAUAUGAGUGUGAGAUGUGUUUGGUUGGAAAAUACACUUUUGUUGGAUGUUAAAAUUGUCAUUCACAAUGCAUUGGUUGGAGCAUGUCCUUUUCCUUGAGAUAUUUCGAGGGAUUGGCACAAAUCCUUUCGGAUUAGUUGGAUGUUAUGUUUUGGUUAGUUUUGUCACUCACCCUUUUUGUUGACAUUUGAUUAAUUCAUUUUAGGGGACAAUCACUAAAUCUCUCUCCUUUGUGUUCAUUUUAUGGAACAUUCAUUUGGCAAGUUUUUUAUCCAAGUGAUCUAGAAUAUACUCUAGAAGGUUGUUUUAGGGAAAAAAAUAUCACUGAAAAUUGGUGGUGUUUUUAUGCCACAGGUGUUGCUUUAUCUAGAUUGAGGAGAACAGGAGCUGAUUAAAAGAGGAAAAAAAAAAGAAGA